UGGCUCCAGCAUCGAUGAAGAACGCAGCGAAACGCGAUAGCUAGCGCGAAUUGCAGAUUUACGUGAGUCAUCGAGUCUUUGAACGCACAUUGCGCCCCUCGGUAUUCCGUGGGGCAUGCCUGUCCGAGCGUCGUUUCGCCGCUCAGGCCCCCGCCCUUUGUCGGGCAGCGGGGCCUGGUGUUGGGGCUCGCCGCCGCCCUCGUGCGGCCGGCGUCCCUGGAAACCAUCGGCGGCGCCUGCAAACGGCUCGCGGUCCAGCGUUGAUGGGCCCAAAGAGCCGGCGCGGCGCGCCUGCCCACACCGAUCUUCUCAAGGUCGACCUCGGAUCAGGUAGGGAUACCCGCUGA
Molecule: unclassified non-coding RNA, 347 nt
Filed under: uncultured fungus
Lineage: Eukaryota; Fungi
Description: partial contains 5.8S ribosomal RNA and internal transcribed spacer 2
Rfam family: 5.8S ribosomal RNA (bases 1-133)
Source: RNAcentral